This 1769-nucleotide ribosomal RNA is filed under the name Salmonella enterica subsp. enterica serovar Newport. Its description in RNAcentral is "partial 23S ribosomal RNA". It matches the Rfam family "Bacterial large subunit ribosomal RNA", at positions 1093 to 2840 of the family's 2925-position model. Lineage: Bacteria; Pseudomonadati; Pseudomonadota; Gammaproteobacteria; Enterobacterales; Enterobacteriaceae. The record is from RNAcentral.
CCAGGAUGUUGGCUUAGAAGCAGCCAUCAUUUAAAGAAAGCGUAAUAGCUCACUGGUCGAGUCGGCCUGCGCGGAAGAUGUAACGGGGCUAAACUAUGCACCGAAGCUGCGGCAGCGACACUAUGUGUUGUUGGGUAGGGGAGCGUUCUGUAAGCCUGUGAAGGUGUGUCGUGAGGCAUGCUGGAGGUAUCAGAAGUGCGAAUGCUGACAUAAGUAACGAUAAAGCGGGUGAAAAGCCCGCUCGCCGGAAGACCAAGGGUUCCUGUCCAACGUUAAUCGGGGCAGGGUGAGUCGACCCCUAAGGCGAGGCCGAAAGGCGUAGUCGAUGGGAAACGGGUUAAUAUUCCCGUACUUGGUGUUACUGCGAAGGGGGGACGGAGAAGGCUAUGUUGGCCGGGCGACGGUUGUCCCGGUUUAAGCGUGUAGGUGUGUGUUCCAGGUAAAUCCGGUUCACUUUAACACUGAGGCGUGAUGACGAGGCACUACGGUGCUGAAGCAACAAAUGCCCUGCUUCCAGGAAAAGCCUCUAAGCAUCAGGUAACAUCAAAUCGUACCCCAAACCGACACAGGUGGUCAGGUAGAGAAUACCAAGGCGCUUGAGAGAACUCGGGUGAAGGAACUAGGCAAAAUGGUGCCGUAACUUCGGGAGAAGGCACGCUGACACGUAGGUGAAGUGAUUUACUCAUGGAGCUGAAGUCAGUCGAAGAUACCAGCUGGCUGCAACUGUUUAUUAAAAACACAGCACUGUGCAAACACGAAAGUGGACGUAUACGGUGUGACGCCUGCCCGGUGCCGGAAGGUUAAUUGAUGGGGUCAGCGCAAGCGAAGCUCCUGAUCGAAGCCCCGGUAAACGGCGGCCGUAACUAUAACGGUCCUAAGGUAGCGAAAUUCCUUGUCGGGUAAGUUCCGACCUGCACGAAUGGCGUAAUGAUGGCCAGGCUGUCUCCACCCGAGACUCAGUGAAAUUGAACUCGCUGUGAAGAUGCAGUGUACCCGCGGCAAGACGGAAAGACCCCGUGAACCUUUACUAUAGCUUGACACUGAACAUUGAGCCUUGAUGUGUAGGAUAGGUGGGAGGCUUUGAAGUGUGGACGCCAGUCUGCAUGGAGCCGACCUUGAAAUACCACCCUUUAAUGUUUGAUGUUCUAACGUGGACCCGUGAUCCGGGUUGCGGACAGUGUCUGGUGGGUAGUUUGACUGGGGCGGUCUCCUCCUAAAGAGUAACGGAGGAGCACGAAGGUUGGCUAAUCCUGGUCGGACAUCAGGAGGUUAGUGCAAUGGCAUAAGCCAGCUUGACUGCGAGCGUGACGGCGCGAGCAGGUGCGAAAGCAGGUCAUAGUGAUCCGGUGGUUCUGAAUGGAAGGGCCAUCGCUCAACGGAUAAAAGGUACUCCGGGGAUAACAGGCUGAUACCGCCCAAGAGUUCAUAUCGACGGCGGUGUUUGGCACCUCGAUGUCGGCUCAUCACAUCCUGGGGCUGAAGUAGGUCCCAAGGGUAUGGCUGUUCGCCAUUUAAAGUGGUACGCGAGCUGGGUUUAGAACGUCGUGAGACAGUUCGGUCCCUAUCUGCCGUGGGCGCUGGAGAACUGAGGGGGGCUGCUCCUAGUACGAGAGGACCGGAGUGGACGCAUCACUGGUGUUCGGGUUGUCAUGCCAAUGGCACUGCCCGGUAGCUAAAUGCGGAAGAGAUAAGUGCUGAAAGCAUCUAAGCACGAAACUUGCCCCGAGAUGAGUUCUCCCUGAGACUUAAAGUCUCCUGAAGGAACGUUG